AUAAUAAUAACAAUAAAAUCCUGUAAGGCCCAAAACCCAUCAGCUCUCCGCCGUUCACUCUAUUCCACCGCCAUCUUGAUAUUAAUAAACGCCGAUCAACAACAUGAAAUUCCAAAUCGAGGACUUGCCAUACGAUAAUAUUUAUCCAGAGCAAUAUUCAGAUAUGGUGGAACCAAAGCGUGACCUGGAGGCCAAGGGACAUGCCUGCUGCCUUCUAGAAAUGUCGACAGGCAGCGGGAAGAACCAUGGCGCUUCUGCCAGCUACACGCUUCCAAAGCCAUUGAAGCUAAUCUAUUGCACAGGCACUGUGCAUGAGAUGGAGAAAACCCUUGAGGAGCUCAAAUUGAUCUCUACCCUCGUCUUCUCGACUUCACCCGAUUGUUAUAGUGGAAGCUUUACAAUGUCCUUGAUAGAAAUUGUAUAUGCCCAAUGGUUCUCACUCGCAGGAAGUACAAUGUUGAAGCUGAAUCUUUUAUUUAUUUGUAGAGUCUCCUAGGUGAAUCUAUCUAUAUGUAACAUGCCCCAAGCAUUAUAUCAAUUUUGAGGAUUUAAUUUGUAGUUGGUUGCAUUUUGUGUUCAACAGUGACCAAUCUCCGAUGAGCCCAAACUUGAUAUGAGAAGUGAUCCAGGUGUUGCAAGCAAUUAUGGGAAGCCCUUGAUGGAAUUGGUCUCUGUUGUCCCGGAUGGAAUUGUAUGCUUUUUUGUUAGUUACUCGUACAUGGAUGGAAUUAUCAAUAACUAUAAAGAAACUGGAAUUCUUAAGGAAAUAAUGCAACAUAAGGUUGUCUUUAUCGAGACCCAAGAUGUAGUAGAAGCGACUUGCUCUUGGUUAACUAUCGCAGGACUUGUGAUUGUGGGAGAGGUGCAGUUUUUUUUCGCUGUUGCUAGGUCAAGUUCCAAAUAGAAGAUGGCAAUUUCCUAAAGUUUGAUGCUCUGCAGAGACAAGCAAUUUAAUGUGUGGGCCAAGUAAUCAGGUCGAAGGCCGAUUGUGGGAUGAUGAAAUUUGCUGAUGAAAGAUAUAGCCAUCAUUACAAGCGCUCAAAGUUGCCUGGCUGGUACUAUCACAUUUGCGUGAUGCAAACCUGAAUUUGAGCACUGAUAUGGUGUUGCCCAUAGCUCGAGUUCCUUUGGAAGAUGGCUCAAUCUCAAUCAUAUGAUAAGACUGGUGCAAGCGGUAGAAAAACCUUGCUGUCACAAGUAGACUACUUGGAGAAGAUGGCCGAAAGUGGAUUGCGAAAAAUGUUGUAUUAAUACUUUACUAUGAUAUAAAUUGUCGGCUAGAUGGCUGCGUGGGCUGUUCGAUAUUCUUCCAAUUUCCAUAAGCAUAAAGAGAUGUCUUUUUGGUUUGGAUUAUGCUGGUGAUGAUAUGAGAUGACAUUUCAUCAUA
Non-coding RNA from Jatropha curcas, 1387 nucleotides. Lineage: Eukaryota; Viridiplantae; Streptophyta; Magnoliopsida; Malpighiales; Euphorbiaceae. The record is from RefSeq and is a predicted model, not a curated record.